Molecule: long non-coding RNA, 499 nt
Organism: Helianthus annuus (common sunflower)
Lineage: Eukaryota; Viridiplantae; Streptophyta; Magnoliopsida; Asterales; Asteraceae
Exons: 3
Source: RefSeq, a predicted model, not a curated record
ACAGAAAUACCCAUUCAAAUGCCCACAGGAUUCACGGGUCAAAAUCAACCAGAAAUGCAGGCCGCCCCAGGUGUCGUCACACAAGAACAGCUUGCGUCUGUAAUGGGGGCUCUGUUUGGUCCCGAUGGGACCAAUGAAGGUUAUAAUCCGGCAACGGAUCGAGAUGAGAUUCCACAACAGAAUUUUGAUCCCCCCCGACCCCGUUUCGAUCAAAUUACGAGAAUGACCUGAUUUCAAAGUUUAAAUCAGUCUUGGACGAGAGGCUGCUAGAGAACAACCGGAGACUUACCAAUAUGUUCAUGGGAGAGUUUUCUCAAUCAUAUCGAUGUUCUCCAAAGCAAAAAACGGUCAGGACUCCGGUGACCGUACGAACACCAAAAGAAGAGGCACACACUCAGAGUGAUAAUGCUGUUGCCGAUUCAUUUAUCAAUUACGAUAAUGCCUACCACGUCUCUAUGAGCCCGAUGGUGAAUGAAGAUUUUAAUGAGGAUCCUGAAAU